CUCCGUCGCAACCAAACACUCGUCUUUCUCGCUAUCGGAUUUUGUGUUUGGAAUGGUUUCGUUUUGCCUGGUGAAAGAAGAGAGCCAUUUAGCACGCAUGUACUCGGCUCUUCUCCACGGAGGAAAGUGCAUGCCUUUCUUCUUCAAGCUCUGCUUCGCAGCCUCCGAUACGAUUGAUACGAUCUGGCCUAGCCGAUCCGUUUUUCCGACGAAGAUGUACGGUAGUGAUUGAAGGAUUGCCCUGUAGGCUCCAGUUGAUCGAGCUAUUUCGAACUCCGAUCUGAAGUCAAUAUCGAUCAAAAGUCUUUCUCCUCCUAUAUUCACAUCUACAUACUCAUAUUCACCUGAUUACCAUAUUUUGGGAAGGGAAAAUUCCCCAUUUCGAUUUGCAAAUGGAGGAAUCGUAGCCGAGAGAAGAUAAUCCAUCAGCUACGAUAUUUCUCAAAUCG
This 449-nucleotide unclassified non-coding RNA is filed under the name Hevea brasiliensis (rubber tree). Lineage: Eukaryota; Viridiplantae; Streptophyta; Magnoliopsida; Malpighiales; Euphorbiaceae. The record is from RNAcentral.